UACGUAGGGUGCGAGCGUUAAUCGGAUUUACUGGGCGUAAAGCGUGCGCAGGUGGUUCCUUAAGUCUGAUGUGAAAGCCCACGGCUCAACCGUGGAGGGUCAUUGGAAACUGGAGAACUUGAGUGCAGAAGAGGAGAGUGGAAUUCCACGUGUAGCGGUGAAAUGCGUAGAUAUGUGGAGGAACACCAGUGGCGAAGGCGACUCUCUGGUCUGUAACUGACGCUGAGGCUCGAAAGCGUGGGGAGCAAACAGG
This 253-nucleotide ribosomal RNA is filed under the name uncultured microorganism. RNAcentral's name for it is "partial 16S ribosomal RNA". It matches the Rfam family "Bacterial small subunit ribosomal RNA", at positions 524 to 776 of the family's 1533-position model. The record is from RNAcentral.